Small nucleolar RNA from Salmo trutta (river trout), 84 nucleotides. Ensembl annotates it as small nucleolar RNA, C/D box 72. Its record names the gene SNORD72. NCBI's taxonomy places the organism in Eukaryota, Metazoa, Chordata, Actinopteri, Salmoniformes, Salmonidae. The record is from Ensembl.
AGCUUGCCAAUGAUGUCACAAAAUAAAUGUCUGAACUGAUGAUAUCAAUGAUUUUAUUUUUUAAGAUCUUUACUAAAGCAAGCU